UAGCAUACAAAACGUACAUUUAUCAGACUGCUUUGUUUUAGUUGUACUUCGUUGUAAUUUAUCAGACUACUUUGUUGUAGUAGCUCGUAACUUAGCUUGCCAGCACACAAUUCCCGCCUAGCGCUGUAUGGAGUCUGCCUUCACAAUUUAAAAAAUUAACGGUUGGUGGCUUGUUUCAAUCAAUAGUUGGUAAGUUGUCUGAUUUUUGCAAACUGCAUGCCACAAAACCUUUGGUAAAAUCAGUGUUUACGCUUUUCUGACUCUGACCUUUAUCAAGUUCAAAUGUAGCCUACUUUUGCACAGUGAAAAUAGUAGAAAAUUUAUUUAGUGUUAAUUUUAAGAGUUUAACAGACAAGUUCGCCUUCACAAAUUUUGAAUAUGAUGGUUAGUGGCAUUUUAGUCGCGAAAUAAUUUACCUUUUCAAAGCUGCACUGCACCAAACCUAAACGUUUCUGACUCUGUACUUUCCAAGGGUUAGCCUAUUGUGUACUUCACUUGUGUAAAAUUGCUUUAUUAUUUUAUAACGUAUAGAGUAGUUGACCAACCUGAAUUGAAAAUGAACUGUAGUGCAAGAAUAAAUCUUACUGUUUUCCAAGCUUGUGUUAUUCAGAUUGACUGUUUUUAAGUGAAGUAAAAGUAAAAACUGUUCUGCUAGCUUUCUGUCCUCAUGGCUUUUGUGUUAUUACAGUCUGACGAUUGAAGGAGCAGUAGCAUGCCGAGAGAUCAUCCAGCACUGCACUAAAGACAACCAGUAAAGGCUUCCCACCUGACUUCCUACACGACCUGUUUGAAGGUGUCAUUUCAGUGGAGUUGGCACAUUGUUUAAAGGCGAGGGACCAUGGCCAGCACUCUUUCAUGAGACACAGCUCUACUUUGAAUUUCAUCGGAUCACCAAUCAGAAUCUGCCACAUGUGUUUUAUGCUGCGCUGGAUGAUUAUGCUCCUCAGCUGACUGGACUUUACAAAAAGAGGAAAACUGGACGGGUCGGUGAAAGGAUGGAGC
Long non-coding RNA from Astatotilapia calliptera (eastern happy), 1002 nucleotides. Lineage: Eukaryota; Metazoa; Chordata; Actinopteri; Cichliformes; Cichlidae. The record is from Ensembl.